GUCUUUUCGAGGUAGGAGUCGACUCCUGUGAGGUAUGGUGCUGGGUGCAGAUGCAGUGUGGCUCUGGAUAGCACCUUAUGGACAGUUGUGUCCCCAAGGAAGGAUGAGAAUAGCUACUGAAGUCCUAAAGAGCAAGCCUAACUCAAGCCAUUGGCACACAGGCAUUAGACAGAAAGCUGGAAGUUGAAAUGGUGGAGUCCAACUUGCCUGGACCAGCUUAAUGGUUCUGCUCCUGGUAACGUUUUUAUCCAUGGAUGACUUGCUUGGGUAAGGACAUGAAGACAGUUCCUGUCAUACCUUUUAAAGGUAUGGAGAGUCGGCUUGACUACACUGUGUGGAGCAAGUUUUAAAGAAGCAAAGGACUCAGAAUUCAUGAUUGAAGAAAUGCAGGCAGACCUGUUAUCCUAAACUAGGUGAGUCAGCUUUUGGUACAUGUGAUGAUUUUCAGUGUAACCAAUGAUGUAAUGAUUCUGCCAAAUGAAAUAUAAUGAUAUCACUGUAAAACCGUUCCAUUUUGAUUCUGAGGUUACUCUACUAACAAGCAUCACACAUUUGUAUUUUGCCCUGAUUAAUAUGUUGGCUUCGCUUUCAGGGUUUUUAAUGACCACAACAAGCAAGCAUGCAGCUUACUGCUUGAAAGGGUCUUGCCUCACCCAAGCUAGAGUGCAGUGGCCUUUGAAGCUUACUACAGCCUCAAACUUCUGGGCUCAAGUGAUCCUCAGCCUCCCAGUGGUCUUUGUAGACUGCCUGAUGGAGUCUCAUGGCACAAGAAGAUUAAAACAGUGUCUCCAAUUUUAAUAAAUUUUUGCAAUCCAUCUGGA
Molecule: long non-coding RNA, 821 nt
Filed under: Homo sapiens (human)
Lineage: Eukaryota; Metazoa; Chordata; Mammalia; Primates; Hominidae
Rfam family: Small nucleolar RNA SNORD47 (bases 452-528)
Source: RNAcentral